AUACUUACCUGGCAGGGGAGAUACCAUGAUCAAGAAGGUGGUUCACCCAGGGUGAGGCUCAGCCAUUGCACNNN
Small nuclear RNA from Cyprinodon variegatus (sheepshead minnow), 74 nucleotides. Its record names the gene U1. It matches the Rfam family "U1 spliceosomal RNA". Rfam says of the family: U1 is a small nuclear RNA (snRNA) component of the spliceosome (involved in pre-mRNA splicing). Its 5' end forms complementary base pairs with the 5' splice junction, thus defining the 5' donor site of an intron. The record is from Ensembl. NCBI's taxonomy places the organism in Eukaryota, Metazoa, Chordata, Actinopteri, Cyprinodontiformes, Cyprinodontidae.